CAGAAAGAGUUAUCCCCCUUGGCCGGCAUAGCGAUCGGUUUUCGAUCAAACAUUUAUCGAUACUGAGAUGGAGAACGUCAACGUGCCUGCUGACCCUGCACAUGACGCAUGGUAUCCAAGUGGGCUGUGUCCUGCCACAUUCAGGAAAUUUGAGGUGCAACCCUUGUAGGAAAUCAGGUUUCACUGUCCAGUUACAAGAAGCCUGGUGCAAAUAGCUUGUUUGGUCCAGUUGCACCCAACAAAGGUAAUUGGAGACGGAGAGACACGCCCCCAAAGAGGGGUGCAACUUGUAGGCGGGCACUAUCCUGCUGCAACAUGACGUUACGUCCCUGCAUGUGCACAAAGGCAAGAACAUGAUCUCAAACAAUGUCCUCAUAACAAUGAUGAGUUGUGUUUUCCCAUGAGUUGUGAUGCCACCCCAUACCAUUACACUUCCACCCCAAAACUGAUGAUGAUAAGUAAUGCAAGAGUUGCUAAAACAUUCUCCAGUAUGCAUGUAGACCUUUGCAUGAUCAUCAGAGCAGUUCAGAUGAAACCCUCAUUCAUUUGUGAACAGUGUACUGUCCCUGUUUUUCUUCUGAACCUCAGAUGCUGUCUACACCAAGUGUGACUGAUAGUCCUGUGUAAGCAAAAUUAGGCAUAUUGCUGAAUGUUGGGACCGGAUGUUGUGCUCUCUCAACCGUGCAACUACCAUGCUGUAAUGAAACUUGAUGGUAUCAGUUUACACCAACGCUAAACUACAUAUACAGCUCCCAAUACAGUGUGCUUUGAGAAGGGAGAGCAACUAUGCCCUGUACGUUUCUGGAAAGAAGAAGUGUUGAGAAGAAGAGUGUUGAAGUCAGCAUUGGCAUCCUCAGUAGUGAAAAGAUCAGCAGGGAGUAGCAUCAGUUCGCUACUGUGUGGAGGGACAGUGUUUCUCCCUAUACUCAUGGACAGUACUGUGCAUCUAAACAUAUGAUUCAUAUUAUAUAUUGUUUCAUAAUGUGAGGUGGUUUUUUUUCAUUCAUAAUAUCAAUUAUCAUAUAUGGUGAAUUUAGCAUCUUACAAAUAUACUGUGCAUGGAAUUUCUUCACUUACACUGUUUUGAGCAUUUUGAGGCAAAACUCUUUUCAUGUGUUACAUUUAUGUUUAUUGUUUCCUCAACAAUAAAGAACUAGCAAAAUGA
Molecule: long non-coding RNA, 1165 nt
Organism: Haliotis rufescens (red abalone)
Lineage: Eukaryota; Metazoa; Mollusca; Gastropoda; Lepetellida; Haliotidae
Exons: 6
Source: RefSeq, a predicted model, not a curated record